RNAcentral lists this ribosomal RNA (388 nucleotides) under uncultured bacterium. RNAcentral's name for it is "bacterial SSU rRNA". It matches the Rfam family "Bacterial small subunit ribosomal RNA", at positions 30 to 420 of the family's 1533-position model. The record is from RNAcentral.
AUUGAACGCUGGCGGCAUGCCUUACACAUGCAAGUCGAACGGCAGCGGACCUUCGGGUGCCGGCGAGUGGCGAACGGGUGAGUAAUAUAUCGGAACGUACCUUUCAGUGGGGGAUAACGUAGCGAAAGUUACGCUAAUACCGCAUAUUCUGUGAGCAGGAAAGCAGGGGAUCGCAAGACCUUGCGCUGAUUGAGCGGCCGAUAUCAGAUUAGCUAGUUGGUGAGGUAAAGGCCUACCAAGGCUACGAUCUGUAGCGGGUCUGAGAGGAUGAUCCGCCACACUGGAACUGAGACACGGUCCAGACUCCUACGGGAGGCAGCAGUGGGGAAUUUUGGACAAUGGGCGCAAGCCUGACGCAGCGACGCCGCGUGAGUGAUGAAGGCCUCGG